GAUGAACGCUAGCGGCAGGCCUAAUACAUGCAAGUCGAGGGGCAGCAGGGAUAGCAAUAUUCGCUGGCGACCGGCGCACGGGUGCGUAACACGUAUACAAUCUGCCUUUAACUGGGGGAUAGCCCGGAGAAAUCCGGAUUAAUACCCCAUAAUAAUUUGACUGGCAUCAGUUAGAUUUGAAAGCUCCGGCGGUUAGAGAUGAGUAUGCGACUGAUUAGCUAGUUGGUGAGGUAACGGCUCACCAAGGCAACGAUCAGUAGGGGAUCUGAGAGGA
RNAcentral lists this ribosomal RNA (274 nucleotides) under uncultured bacterium. Its description in RNAcentral is "partial 16S ribosomal RNA". It matches the Rfam family "Bacterial small subunit ribosomal RNA", at positions 28 to 300 of the family's 1533-position model. The record is from RNAcentral.